RNAcentral lists this ribosomal RNA (722 nucleotides) under Staphylococcus aureus. RNAcentral describes it as "partial 23S ribosomal RNA". It matches the Rfam family "Bacterial large subunit ribosomal RNA", at positions 745 to 1469 of the family's 2925-position model. Lineage: Bacteria; Bacillati; Bacillota; Bacilli; Caryophanales; Staphylococcaceae. The record is from RNAcentral.
UUGAAGUUCAGGUAACACUGAAUGGAGGACCGAACCGACUUACGUUGAAAAGUGAGCGGAUGAACUGAGGGUAGCGGAGAAAUUCCAAUCGAACCUGGAGAUAGCUGGUUCUCUCCGAAAUAGCUUUAGGGCUAGCCUCAAGUGAUGAUUAUUGGAGGUAGAGCACUGUUUGGACGAGGGGCCCCUCUCGGGUUACCGAAUUCAGACAAACUCCGAAUGCCAAUUAAUUUAACUUGGGAGUCAGAACAUGGGUGAUAAGGUCCGUGUUCGAAAGGGAAACAGCCCAGACCACCAGCUAAGGUCCCAAAAUAUAUGUUAAGUGGAAAAGGAUGUGGCGUUGCCCAGACAACUAGGAUGUUGGCUUAGAAGCAGCCAUCAUUUAAAGAGUGCGUAAUAGCUCACUAGUCGAGUGACACUGCGCCGAAAAUGUACCGGGGCUAAACAUAUUACCGAAGCUGUGGAUUGUCCUUUGGACAAUGGUAGGAGAGCGUUCUAAGGGCGUUGAAGCAUGAUCGUAAGGACAUGUGGAGCGCUUAGAAGUGAGAAUGCCGGUGUGAGUAGCGAAAGACGGGUGAGAAUCCCGUCCACCGAUUGACUAAGGUUUCCAGAGGAAGGCUCGUCCGCUCUGGGUUAGUCGGGUCCUAAGCUGAGGCCGACAGGCGUAGGCGAUGGAUAACAGGUUGAUAUUCCUGUACCACCUAUAAUCGUUUUAAUCGAUGGGG